GUGCCAGCCGCCGCGGUAAUACAGAGGUCCCAAGCGUUGUUCGGAUUCACUGGGCGUAAAGGGUGCGUAGGUGGUGAGGUAAGUUUGAUGUGAAAUCUCCGGGCUCAACCCGGAAAUGGCAUUGAAUACUAUCUUGCUAGAGGAGUGGAGGGGGGACUGGAAUACUUGGUGUAGCAGUGAAAUGCGUAGAUAUCAAGUGGAACACCAGUGGCGAAGGCGAGUCCCUGGACACUUCCUGACACUGAGGCACGAAAGCUAGGGGAGCAAACAGGAUUAGAUACCCUAGUAGUCC
RNAcentral lists this ribosomal RNA (292 nucleotides) under uncultured bacterium. Its description in RNAcentral is "partial 16S ribosomal RNA". It matches the Rfam family "Bacterial small subunit ribosomal RNA", at positions 505 to 796 of the family's 1533-position model. The record is from RNAcentral.